Molecule: ribosomal RNA, 1411 nt
Filed under: Cutibacterium acnes
Lineage: Bacteria; Bacillati; Actinomycetota; Actinomycetes; Propionibacteriales; Propionibacteriaceae
Description: partial 16S ribosomal RNA
Rfam family: Bacterial small subunit ribosomal RNA
Source: RNAcentral
UCGAACGGAAAGGCCCUGCUUUUGUGGGGUGCUCGAGUGGCGAACGGGUGAGUAACACGUGAGUAACCUGCCCUUGACUUUGGGAUAACUUCAGGAAACUGGGGCUAAUACCGGAUAGGAGCUCCUGCUGCAUGGUGGGGGUUGGAAAGUUUCGGCGGUUGGGGAUGGACUCGCGGCUUAUCAGCUUGUUGGUGGGGUAGUGGCUUACCAAGGCUUUGACGGGUAGCCGGCCUGAGAGGGUGACCGGCCACAUUGGGACUGAGAUACGGCCCAGACUCCUACGGGAGGCAGCAGUGGGGAAUAUUGCACAAUGGGCGGAAGCCUGAUGCAGCAACGCCGCGUGCGGGAUGACGGCCUUCGGGUUGUAAACCGCUUUCGCCUGUGACGAAGCGUGAGUGACGGUAAUGGGUAAAGAAGCACCGGCUAACUACGUGCCAGCAGCCGCGGUGAUACGUAGGGUGCGAGCGUUGUCCGGAUUUAUUGGGCGUAAAGGGCUCGUAGGUGGUUGAUCGCGUCGGAAGUGUAAUCUUGGGGCUUAACCCUGAGCGUGCUUUCGAUACGGGUUGACUUGAGGAAGGUAGGGGAGAAUGGAAUUCCUGGUGGAGCGGUGGAAUGCGCAGAUAUCAGGAGGAACACCAGUGGCGAAGGCGGUUCUCUGGGCCUUUCCUGACGCUGAGGAGCGAAAGCGUGGGGAGCGAACAGGCUUAGAUACCCUGGUAGUCCACGCUGUAAACGGUGGGUACUAGGUGUGGGGUCCAUUCCACGGGUUCCGUGCCGUAGCUAACGCUUUAAGUACCCCGCCUGGGGAGUACGGCCGCAAGGCUAAAACUCAAAGGAAUUGACGGGGCCCCGCACAAGCGGCGGAGCAUGCGGAUUAAUUCGAUGCAACGCGUAGAACCUUACCUGGGUUUGACAUGGAUCGGGAGUGCUCAGAGAUGGGUGUGCCUCUUUUGGGGUCGGUUCACAGGUGGUGCAUGGCUGUCGUCAGCUCGUGUCGUGAGAUGUUGGGUUAAGUCCCGCAACGAGCGCAACCCUUGUUCACUGUUGCCAGCACGUUAUGGUGGGGACUCAGUGGAGACCGCCGGGGUCAACUCGGAGGAAGGUGGGGAUGACGUCAAGUCAUCAUGCCCCUUAUGUCCAGGGCUUCACGCAUGCUACAAUGGCUGGUACAGAGAGUGGCGAGCCUGUGAGGGUGAGCGAAUCUCGGAAAGCCGGUCUCAGUUCGGAUUGGGGUCUGCAACUCGACCUCAUGAAGUCGGAGUCGCUAGUAAUCGCAGAUCAGCAACGCUGCGGUGAAUACGUUCCCGGGGCUUGUACACACCGCCCGUCAAGUCAUGAAAGUUGGUAACACCCGAAGCCGGUGGCCUAACCGUUGUGGGGGAGCCGUCGAAGGUGGGACUGGUGAUUAGGA